AGGCGUGCUGGCACUUGGAGAGUGGCAAGUCUUCGAGUAUGGGGAGCAAAACAGCUAUGGGUCGAGUCUGAUAUCUUUAGGAGGGGGGAAGCUCCUCUUAUUGUGAGGGCGAGUUAUAUAACACCAUAGGACUGGCCGUCCCAUAUGAAAAGAUUAUAUUAGAAUUGAAUGAAGCUUUGUUUAUAUAUUGAUAAUGACAGUAUAUAUAUCGUGUCUUGACUAAUUGCGUGCCAGCAGUCGCGGUAAUACGUAAGAGACUAGUGUUAUUCAUCUUAAUUAGGUUUAAAGGGUACCCAGACGGUCAAUAUAGCUUAUAAAAUGUUAGUACUUGACUAGAGUUUUAUGUAAGAGGGCAGUACUUGAGGAGGAGAGAUGAAAUUUCCUGAUACCAAAGGGACUCUGUAAAGGCGAAGGCAGCCCUCUAUGUAAAAACUGACGUUGAAGGACGAAGGCACAGAAAACAAACAGGAUUAGAUACCCAAGUAGUCUUUGCAGUAAAUGAUGAAUGCCAUAGGUUAGAUGGGUGG
Molecule: ribosomal RNA, 527 nt
Filed under: Fusarium fujikuroi
Lineage: Eukaryota; Fungi; Ascomycota; Sordariomycetes; Hypocreales; Nectriaceae
Description: SSU rRNA
Rfam family: Bacterial small subunit ribosomal RNA (bases 85-527)
Source: RNAcentral